CCUGUAGUCCCAGCUACUCAGAAGGCUGAGGCAGGAGAAUAGGGUGAACCCAGGAGGCGGAGCUUGCAGUGAGCCGAGAUCACGCCACUGCACUCCAGCCUGGGCGACAGCAUGAGACUCCGUCACAAAAAAAAAAAAAGAAAGAAAAGAAAAAAAAACAAGGGAAACAGUAACCGGGCGUGGUGGCAUGCACCUGUGGUCCCAGCUACUUGGAAGGCCGAGGUGGAAGGAUCCCUUGGGCCUGAAAGAUUGAAGCUACAGUGAGCCAUGAUCGCACCACUGCACUCCAGCCAGGACUGCAGCUCUGGAGCAACAGAGCAAGACCCUGUCUUUAAAAAAAUCAAAAAAUACAAGAACAAAGUAGAAGGGUCAUAUGAAUUCUGGGGUCUAGCAUCAUUGGAGUCUUUAGUGUCCUGAGAGUCACACAUGGGCUUGGGCCGCAGGUGCAGCGUGAGGCCCUGUUCAUGAAGAGUGAGCGACACGCGGCCGAGGCGCAGCUGGCCACAGCAGAGCAGCAGCUACGGGGGCUACGGACCGAGGCGGAAAGGGCUCGCCAGGCCCAGAGCCGGGCCCAGGAGGCUCUGGACAAGGCCAAGGAGAAGGACAAGAAGAUCACAGAACUCUCCAAAGAAGUCUUCAGUCUUAAGGAGGCCUUGAAGGAGCAGCCGGCCGCCCUGGCCACCCCCGAGGUGGAGGCCCUCCGUGACCAGGUGAAGGAUUUGCAGCAGCAGCUGCAGGAAGCUGCCAGGGACCACUCCAGCGUGGUGGCUUUGUACAGAAGCCACCUCCUAUACGCCAUUCAGGUGAGUGGCCCAGCUCCCGGGUGCCCGGGUGGCUUUGGGCAGGCCGCUAUUGCUCUCUGGGUCUCAGGUUCCCCUUCUGUACAGUGGGAGGCUGGUCCUGGGGAGAGGUUCGUGGCAUGUGGGAGCCCACCUGUGUGCAUUUCCCUCCUGGCUGGCUUGGUCUUUGGGAGUGGUGGAGGGGCCUGGGGCAGCCGUCGGGGAUACACUCAGGAUCCCCCUCUACUCCCCCCACCCUAGGGCCAGAUGGAUGAAGAUGUGCAGCGGAUUCUCAGCCAGAUUCUGCAGAUGCAGAGACUCCAGGCUCAGGGCCGCUGAGAAAGGCCAGGCCCAGUGGCUACACUGACCACACCCACGCAGGGGCCUCAUGCCCCUGCAGGCCCCUUGCAGACCGGCUUCACUUGGCCCCAUCCGGACCCAUGCACUUGGAGACCAGCCUGGGUCCCUGCCCGACCAUCCCCAGCUGGCUCCAUCGCCCCACCUGGUCUCUGCACGCAGGCACUGGUCAGUCUGGACCCGGGGCGUGACCGCCCCUCCCCCACCACCGGAGAAUCUGUGAGUCCCUGUGUCCUCCACAUCCAGACGCCAGCCCAGGAAUAAAGGCAUUCUGUGCACAGGACCAAUGCGUGCCG
This 1432-nucleotide long non-coding RNA is filed under the name Rhinopithecus bieti (black snub-nosed monkey). RNAcentral describes it as "lncRNA (ENSRBIG00000045629.1)". The record is from RNAcentral. Lineage: Eukaryota; Metazoa; Chordata; Mammalia; Primates; Cercopithecidae.